CUGCAAUCUAAUCUAUAUUGUGAACGCCAGCUGUCUACAGGGUCUAAUGUUACUCCAUCCUAUCUGUCUGUGGUGUACAAUCUGUUGGCAGGUGCUUCCUCUUGGCGGGCAGAGAAAGAGGAAGUCACACGGGGACAUCUGCGAAGACCUGUAAGAUGGCAAGCACCUGUACUCAACCAGAACGUCUGCCAUCAGGCUGUGUCUACACUACAGUGGAGCUUGCUUUCCACAGCUGGGAGUGACCUUGGUGGGACUGAUGUGUGGCCUGGGCAGUGCCUGCGCACAAAUUCAAUUAUUUAUGGUGUGGCUGUGUAGAACUCGUGUUUGCUCAGAGAAGUGUCCUCCUCCAUCACAGAGAGCUUCAGGGACUACCGCUGAAUGAAAAGACAUCUGUUCAACAGGAAAGAGAUUAAGAGAAGAGACAUUAUUUACACCAACGUUAACUGUGCACAGGAAGUAUUUGAAAAAGUGAUUGUAAUCAAAAUAUGAUGAUCUCUUGAGGACAAGUAACUGAAAUAUAUAACGAAAUUGGCCAGAUUGUUUAAAACAAUGGACCCUUUUCACAGACUUUGAUGACGUGUUUCCACGGUUAUUAACAUCAAUCAAGCA
This is a long non-coding RNA of Sinocyclocheilus rhinocerous, 609 nucleotides long. RefSeq lists it as uncharacterized. The transcript is spliced from 3 exons. Lineage: Eukaryota; Metazoa; Chordata; Actinopteri; Cypriniformes; Cyprinidae. The record is from RefSeq and is a predicted model, not a curated record.